This 496-nucleotide ribosomal RNA is filed under the name uncultured bacterium. Its description in RNAcentral is "partial 16S ribosomal RNA". It matches the Rfam family "Bacterial small subunit ribosomal RNA", at positions 29 to 507 of the family's 1533-position model. The record is from RNAcentral.
AUGAACGCUGGCGGCGUGCCUAAUACCUGCAAGUCGAGCGAACAGACGAGGAGCUUGCUCCUCUGACGUUAGCGGCGGACGGGUGAGUAACACGUGGAUAACCUACCUAUAAGACUGGGAUAACUUCGGGAAACCGGAGCUAAUACCGGAUAAUAUAUUGAACCGCAUGGUUCAAUAGUGAAAGACGGUUUUGCUGUCACUUAUAGAUGGAUCCGCGCCGCAUUAGCUAGUUGGUAAGGUAACGGCUUACCAAGGCGACGAUGCGUAGCCGACCUGAGAGGGUGAUCGGCCACACUGGAACUGAGACACGGUCCAGACUCCUACGGGAGGCAGCAGUAGGGAAUCUUCCGCAAUGGGCGAAAGCCUGACGGAGCAACGCCGCGUGAGUGAUGAAGGUCUUCUGAUCGUAAAACUCUGUUAUUAGGGAAGAACAAAUGUGUAAGUAACUAUGCACGUCUUGACGGUACCUAAUCAGAAAGCCACGGCUAACUACGUG